RNAcentral lists this long non-coding RNA (1069 nucleotides) under Marmota monax (woodchuck). Lineage: Eukaryota; Metazoa; Chordata; Mammalia; Rodentia; Sciuridae. The record is from RNAcentral.
CUAAGGUCUUCUUUAGUUUUCUGUAGUUUUCAUUGUAGAGGUCUUUUACCUCUUGUUAGGUUGAUUCCCAAUUUUUUUGAGGCUAUUAUAAAUGGGAGUGUUUUCCUAAUUUCUCUUUAAGAGGAUUCAUCAUUGAUAUACAGAAAUGCAUUUGACUUAGGGGUGUUGAUUUUAUAUCCUGCUACUUUGCUGAAUUCAUAUAUGAGUUCUAGAAGUUUUCUGGUGGAAUUUUUAAUUUUGAUUAUUUUUCUAGGUCUUAAAAGUAUCUUUCAUUUAUUUAAGUUUUUGAUACAAACUUUUCAUUGGUUUGUCAUCCUUCUCAAUGUGCACAGUCCUGGUUGAACUAGCCAAACUAUCAGAUUUCUGCCAAUUUUACAUCUCCCUCUCAUGUUACACUCCUUGUCUUAUUUUAUACCUUCAUCUUCCAAAUUUCUCUCAUAAAACCUCUUCAUGUGAGAUGGAUAUUACUACCCUAAAUACAUGUAUGAAGACACAAAUGGUGUGACUCUACUUUAUGUACCACCAUAGAUAUGAAAAAUUGUGUAAUAUGAAUUGUAAUGCAUUCUGCUGUCAUACAUAACAAAUUAGAAUAAAAAAUAAGAAAUAAAGCUCUUCACAAUAUUCUUUUCAUCUUUAUUUUGGUCUGUUUUGUUGAUAGAAGCAACUGAGACUCUUUUAGUUUUUUUAAAAUCAGUUUUGUAUUUGUGUCUGAGCCAUAGGGACAUUUUCUGAUUCUGAUUUCAUGAAAAUUAAGCUCAUAUUUUUUAUAUAUUCCUGUCUGUACAUUGUCUGUUCAACUAGACAAAUGAUUCUUAAUAUUUUUUUAAUUUAGAGAGAGAGAGAGAUAAUUUUUUAAUAUUUAUUUUAGUUUUUGGUGGACACAACAUCUUUAUUUUUAUGUGGUGCUUAGAAUGGAACCCAGCACCCUGCGCAUGCCAGGCGAAUGCGCUACCACGUGAGCCACAUCCCAAGCCCCAAAUGAUUCUUGAAAAUCAUUUUUUUGUUGUUUUUGUUUAUUUGGGUUUUUGUUUGUUUAGGGAAGAUCUUGGUCUUUCACAUUAUCUUGUAU